AAAAAAGACAAACUUUGGUUUCCGUGUCCAACGUUUGACCGUCCGUCUUAUUUGAAAAAAUUAUGAAAAAAAUUAAAAAGACAAGUCACUCAUAAAAUAUUAUGUUUUAUUAUCUAACAACAAUAAAAAUACGAAUUAUAAAAAAAUUUCAUAUAAUACGGACAAUUAAAGUUGGACACGGAAACUCAGGGUUUACUUUUUU
This 202-nucleotide microRNA precursor is filed under the name Oryza glumipatula. RNAcentral describes it as "MIR812 microRNA precursor family". It matches the Rfam family "MIR812 microRNA precursor family". The record is from Rfam by way of RNAcentral. Lineage: Eukaryota; Viridiplantae; Streptophyta; Magnoliopsida; Poales; Poaceae.